This 53-nucleotide small nucleolar RNA is filed under the name Pyrobaculum islandicum DSM 4184. RNAcentral describes it as "PISsR26". Lineage: Archaea; Thermoproteati; Thermoproteota; Thermoprotei; Thermoproteales; Thermoproteaceae. The record is from RNAcentral.
GUGAUGAUAAAUACGUGGGGCCUACGAAAGAUGAGUAAGGUCUGGAGCUCUGA